Caenorhabditis elegans is the source of this 199-nucleotide non-coding RNA. NCBI's taxonomy places the organism in Eukaryota, Metazoa, Nematoda, Chromadorea, Rhabditida, Rhabditidae. The record is from Ensembl.
UUAUAUUUCUUGAGGCGAUAAUAGACAACCCUGCAAAAGCACUUCACUUUUGAACCUUGUUUUUAUGAUGAUUGACCAUGGGAUUUAGCUAAGGUUGAAAAAGCGAUUGGUCACCAAUGCUCUGAUAGUCUAAAAUGCAAAUAUACUAGUCAGAUUGGUAUGAGUUAAUUUCAGAAUGCUCGAAAAAACUCUAACACUA